This 403-nucleotide ribosomal RNA is filed under the name uncultured bacterium. RNAcentral's name for it is "bacterial SSU rRNA". It matches the Rfam family "Bacterial small subunit ribosomal RNA", at positions 355 to 776 of the family's 1533-position model. The record is from RNAcentral.
UGAGGAAUUUUCCGCAAUGGGCGAAAGCCUGACGGAGCGACGCCGUGUGUGGGAUGAAGUUUUUCGGAAUGUAAACCACUGUCAGAGGGGACGAUAUUGACGGUACCCUCAGAGGAAGGCCCGGCUAACUACGUGCCAGCAGCCGCGGUAAUACGUAGGGGCCAAGCGUUGUCCGGAAUUACUGGGCGUAAAGGGCGUGUAGGCGGUCUGGUAAGUCAGAUGUUAAAUCCACGGGCUCAACCCGUGUUCGCAUUUGAUACUGCCAAACUAGAGAGUGCUAGAGGAAAGCGGAAUUUCCGGUGUAGCGGUGAAAUGCGUAGAUAUCGGAAAGAACACCAGUGGCGAAGGCGGCUUUCUGGGGCACUUCUGACGCUGAGACGCGAAAGCCAGGGGAGCAAACGGG